UACGAAGGGGGCUAGCGUUGUUCGGAAUCACUGGGCGUAAAGCGCACGCAGGCGGAUCGUUAAGUCAGGGGUGAAAUGCCGAGGCUCAACCUCGGAACUGCCUUUGAUACUGGCGAUCUUAGAGUCCGGGAGAGGUGAGUGGAACUCCGAGUGUAGAGGUGAAAUUCGUAAAUAUUCGGAAGAACACCAGUGGCGAAGGCGGCUCACUGGCCCGGUACUGACGCUCAGGUGCGAAAGCGUGGGGAGCAAACAGG
RNAcentral lists this ribosomal RNA (254 nucleotides) under uncultured bacterium. RNAcentral describes it as "partial 16S ribosomal RNA". It matches the Rfam family "Bacterial small subunit ribosomal RNA", at positions 524 to 776 of the family's 1533-position model. The record is from RNAcentral.